UGCCUUACACAUGCAAGUCGAACGGCAGCACGGGAGCCAAUCCUGGUGGCGAGUGGCGAACGGGUGAGUAAUAUAUCGGAACGUGCCCAGUCGUGGGGGAUAACGUAGCGAAAGCUACGCUAAUACCGCAUACGAUCUAUGGAUGAAAGCGGGGGAUCGCAAGACCUCGCGCGAUUGGAGCGGCCGAUAUCAGAUUAGGUAGUUGGUGAGGUAAAGGCUCAUCAAGCCGACGAUCUGUAGCUGGUCUGAGAGGACGACCAGCCACACUGGGACUGAGACACGGCCCAGACUCCUACGGGAGGCAGCAGUGGGGAAUUUUGGACAAUGGGCGCAAGCCUGAUCCAGCAAUGCCGCGUGCAGGAUGAAGGCCUUCGGGUUGUAAACUGCUUUUGUACGGAACGAAAAGGUUUGUCUUAAUACGAUGAGCUCAUGACGGUACCGUAAGAAUAAGCACCGGCUAACUACGUG
Molecule: ribosomal RNA, 468 nt
Filed under: uncultured bacterium
Lineage: Bacteria
Description: bacterial SSU rRNA
Rfam family: Bacterial small subunit ribosomal RNA
Source: RNAcentral